GAUGAACGCUGGCGGUGUGCCUAAUACAUGCAAGUCGAGCGAACGGACGAGAAGCUUGCUUCUCUGAUGUUAGCGGCGGACGGGUGAGUAACACGUGGAUAACCUACCUAUAAGACUGGGAUAACUUCGGGAAACCGGAGCUAAUACCGGAUAAUAUUUUGAACCGCAUGGUUCAAAAGUGAAAGACGGUCUUGCUGUCACUUAUAGAUGGAUCCGCGCUGCAUUAGCUAGUUGGUAAGGUAACGGCUUACCAAGGCAACGAUGCAUAGCCGACCUGAGAGGAGGAUCGGCCACACUGGAACUGAGACACGGUCCAGACUCCUACGGGAGGCAGCAGUAGGGAAUCUUCCGCAAUGGGCGAAAGCCUGACGGAGCAACGCCGCGUGAGUGAUGAAGGUCUUCGGAUCGUAAAACUCUGUUAUCAGGGAAGAACAUAUGUGUAAGUACAUGUGCGCACCUUGACGGUACCAAAUCAGAAAGCCACGGCUAACUACGUG
This 497-nucleotide ribosomal RNA is filed under the name uncultured bacterium. Its description in RNAcentral is "partial 16S ribosomal RNA". It matches the Rfam family "Bacterial small subunit ribosomal RNA", at positions 28 to 507 of the family's 1533-position model. The record is from RNAcentral.